GCUUCCUACGGGAGGCAGCAGUGGGGAAUUUUGGACAAUGGGCGCAAGCCUGAUCCAGCAAUGCCGCGUGAGUGAAGAAGGCCUUCGGGUUGUAAAGCUCUUUUGUCAGGGAAGAAACGGUGAGGGCUAAUAUCCUUUGCUAAUGACGGUACCUGAAGAAUAAGCACCGGCUAACUACGUGCCAGCAGCCGCGGUAAUACGUAGGGUGCAAGCGUUAAUCGGAAUUACUGGGCGUAAAGCGUGCGCAGGCGGUUAUGUAAGUCAGAUGUGAAAUCCCCGGGCUCAACCUGGGAAUGGCAUUUGAGACUGCAUGGCUAGAGUGUGUCAGAGGGGGGUAGAAUUCCACGUGUAGCAGUGAAAUGCGUAGAGAUGUGGAGGAAUACCGAUGGCGAAGGCAGCCCCCUGGGAUAACACUGACGCUCAUGCACGAAAGCGUGGGGAGCAAACAGGAUUAGAUACCCUGGUAGUCCACGCCCUAAACGAUGUCUACUAGUUGUCGGGACUUAAUUGUCUUGGUAACGCAGCUAACGCGUGAAGUAGACCGCCUGGGGAGUACGGUCGCAAGAUUAAAACUC
Molecule: ribosomal RNA, 575 nt
Filed under: uncultured bacterium
Lineage: Bacteria
Description: bacterial SSU rRNA
Rfam family: Bacterial small subunit ribosomal RNA
Source: RNAcentral